GACGAACACUGGCGGCGUGCUUAACACAUGCAAGUCGAACGGAAAGGCCCUGCUUUUGUGGGGUGCUCGAGUGGCGAACGGGUGAGUAACACGUGAGUAACCUGCCCUUGACUUUGGGAUAACUUCAGGAAACUGGGGCUAAUACCGGAUAGGAGCUCCUGCUGCAUGGUGGGGGUUGGAAAGUUUCGGCGGGUGGGGAUGGACUCGCGGCUUAUCAGCUUGUUGGUGGGGUAGUGGCUUACCAAGGCUUUGACGGGUAGCCGGCCUGAGAGGGUGACAGGCCACAUUGGGACUGAGAUACGGCCCAGACUCCUACGGGAGGCAGCAGUGGGGAAUAUUGCACAAUGGGCGGAAGCCUGAUGCAGCAACGCCGCGUGCGGGAUGACGGCCUUCGGGUUGUAAACCGCUUUCGCCUGUGACGAAGCGUGAGUGACGGUAAUGGGUAAAGAAGCACCGGCUAACUACGUG
Molecule: ribosomal RNA, 468 nt
Filed under: uncultured bacterium
Lineage: Bacteria
Description: partial 16S ribosomal RNA
Rfam family: Bacterial small subunit ribosomal RNA
Source: RNAcentral